UUCCAUGUGAACAGCAGUUGGACAUGGGUCAGUCGAUCCUAAGAAAACGGCGAAAGCUUGUUCGAAUUUGCGACAUGAAUUGUAAGACUGAAUAAUUUGUGUGUGUGUGUUGUGGUGGAGGCGAUUGUGUCCUCACCAGUUGUUGUUGUGUGCAGUUGUCGUAUGUUUUCG
This 171-nucleotide ribosomal RNA is filed under the name Trichinella spiralis. RNAcentral's name for it is "partial large subunit ribosomal RNA". Lineage: Eukaryota; Metazoa; Nematoda; Enoplea; Trichinellida; Trichinellidae. The record is from RNAcentral.